AGAGUUUUGAUCAUGGCUCAGAUUGAACGCUGGCGGCAGGCCUAACACAUGCAAGUCGAGCGGUAGCACAGAGAGCUUGCUCUCGGGUGACGAGCGGCGGACGGGUGAGUAAUGUCUGGGAAACUGCCUGAUGGAGGGGGAUAACUACUGGAAACGGUAGCUAAUACCGCAUAACGUCGCAAGACCAAAGUGGGGGACCUUCGGGCCUCAUGCCAUCAGAUGUGCCCAGAUGGGAUUAGCUAGUAGGUGGGGUAACGGCUCACCUAGGCGACGAUCCCUAGCUGGUCUGAGAGGAUGACCAGCCACACUGGAACUGAGACACGGUCCAGACUCCUACGGGAGGCAGCAGUGGGGAAUAUUGCACAAUGGGCGCAAGCCUGAUGCAGCCAUGCCGCGUGUGUGAAGAAGGCCUUCGGGUUGUAAAGCACUUUCAGCGGGGAGGAAGGCGAUAAGGUUAAUAACCUUGUCGAUUGACGUUACCCGCAGAAGAAGCACCGGCUAACUCCGUGCCAGCAGCCGCGGUAAUACGGAGGGUGCAAGCGUUAAUCGGAAUUACUGGGCGUAAAGCGCACGCAGGCGGUCUGUCAAGUCGGAUGUGAAAUCCCCGGGCUCAACCUGGGAACUGCAUUCGAAACUGGCAGGCUAGAGUCUUGUAGAGGGGGGUAGAAUUCCAGGUGUAGCGGUGAAAUGCGUAGAGAUCUGGAGGAAUACCGGUGGCGAAGGCGGCCCCCUGGACAAAGACUGACGCUCAGGUGCGAAAGCGUGGGGAGCAAACAGGAUUAGAUACCCUGGUAGUCCACGCCGUAAACGAUGUCGAUUUGGAGGUUGUGCCCUUGAGGCGUGGCUUCCGGAGCUAACGCGUUAAAUCGACCGCCUGGGGAGUACGGCCGCAAGGUUAAAACUCAAAUGAAUUGACGGGGGCCCGCACAAGCGGUGGAGCAUGUGGUUUAAUUCGAUGCAACGCGAAGAACCUUACCUGGUCUUGACAUCCACAGAACUUUCCAGAGAUGGAUUGGUGCCUUCGGGAACUGUGAGACAGGUGCUGCAUGGCUGUCGUCAGCUCGUGUUGUGAAAUGUUGGGUUAAGUCCCGCAACGAGCGCAACCCUUAUCCUUUGUUGCCAGCGGUUAGGCCGGGAACUCAAAGGAGACUGCCAGUGAUAAACUGGAGGAAGGUGGGGAUGACGUCAAGUCAUCAUGGCCCUUACGACCAGGGCUACACACGUGCUACAAUGGCAUAUACAAAGAGAAGCGACCUCGCGAGAGCAAGCGGACCUCAUAAAGUAUGUCGUAGUCCGGAUUGGAGUCUGCAACUCGACUCCAUGAAGUCGGAAUCGCUAGUAAUCGUAGAUCAGAAUGCUACGGUGAAUACGUUCCCGGGCCUUGUACACACCGCCCGUCACACCAUGGGAGUGGGUUGCAAAAGAAGUAGGUAGCUUAACCUUCGGGAGGGCGCUUACCACUUUGUGAUUCAUGACUGGGGUGAAGUCGUAACAAGGUAACCGUAGGGGAACCUGCGGUUGGAUCACCU
RNAcentral lists this ribosomal RNA (1529 nucleotides) under Klebsiella pneumoniae. RNAcentral's name for it is "bacterial SSU rRNA". It matches the Rfam family "Bacterial small subunit ribosomal RNA". Lineage: Bacteria; Pseudomonadati; Pseudomonadota; Gammaproteobacteria; Enterobacterales; Enterobacteriaceae. The record is from RNAcentral.